RNAcentral lists this ribosomal RNA (492 nucleotides) under Aureobasidium pullulans. Its description in RNAcentral is "eukaryotic LSU rRNA". The stretch from base 133 to 286 matches the Rfam family "5.8S ribosomal RNA". The record is from RNAcentral. Lineage: Eukaryota; Fungi; Ascomycota; Dothideomycetes; Dothideales; Saccotheciaceae.
CUACCUUGUUGCUUUGGCGGGACCGCUCGGUCUCGAGCCGCUGGGGAUUCGUCCCAGGCGAGCGCCCGCCAGAGUUAAACCAAACUCUUGUUAUUUAACCGGUCGUCUGAGUUAAAAUUUUGAAUAAAUCAAAACUUUCAACAACGGAUCUCUUGGUUCUCGCAUCGAUGAAGAACGCAGCGAAAUGCGAUAAGUAAUGUGAAUUGCAGAAUUCAGUGAAUCAUCGAAUCUUUGAACGCACAUUGCGCCCCUUGGUAUUCCGAGGGGCAUGCCUGUUCGAGCGUCAUUACACCACUCAAGCUAUGCUUGGUAUUGGGCGUCGUCCUUAGUUGGGCGCGCCUUAAAGACCUCGGCGAGGCCACUCCGGCUUUAGGCGUAGUAGAAUUUAUUCGAACGUCUGUCAAAGGAGAGGAACUCUGCCGACUGAAACCUUUAUUUUUCUAGGUUGACCUCGGAUCAGGUAGGGAUACCCGCUGAACUUAAGCAUAUCAA